Molecule: non-coding RNA, 115 nt
Organism: Triticum aestivum (bread wheat)
Lineage: Eukaryota; Viridiplantae; Streptophyta; Magnoliopsida; Poales; Poaceae
Source: Rfam
CAUCUACUCCCUCAGUUCUGAAUUACUUGUCGCAGGUAUGGAUGUAUCUAGAUGUAUUUUAGUUUUAGAUACAUCCAUUUCUGCGAUGAGUAAUUUGGAACGGAGGGAGUAGCUA